ACAGAGGGUGCGAGCGUUGUCCGGAAUCACUGGGCGUAAAGGGCGCGUAGGUGGCGGGAUAAGCGUGCGGUGAAAGCCCGGGGCUCAACUCCGGGUCUGCCGUGCGGACUGUUUCGCUCGAGCGUAGUAGAGGCAGGUGGAAUUCCGGGUGUAGCGGUGGAAUGCGUAGAGAUCCGGAAGAACACCGGUGGCGAAGGCGGCCUGCUGGGCUACUGCUGACACUGAGGCGCGACAGCGUGGGGAGCAAACAGGAUUAGAUACCCUGGUAGUCCACGCCGUAAACGAUGGGUACUAGGUGUCUGGGGGAGCGACCCCCUGGGUGCCGGCGCUAACGCAUGAAGUACCCCGCCUGGGGAGUACGGCCGCAAGGCUG
This 373-nucleotide ribosomal RNA is filed under the name uncultured bacterium. RNAcentral describes it as "bacterial SSU rRNA". It matches the Rfam family "Bacterial small subunit ribosomal RNA", at positions 525 to 896 of the family's 1533-position model. The record is from RNAcentral.